RNAcentral lists this ribosomal RNA (589 nucleotides) under uncultured bacterium. RNAcentral describes it as "partial 16S ribosomal RNA". It matches the Rfam family "Bacterial small subunit ribosomal RNA", at positions 355 to 938 of the family's 1533-position model. The record is from RNAcentral.
UGGGGAAUUUUGGACAAUGGGCGAAAGCCUGAUCCAGCAAUGCCGCGUGAGUGAAGAAGGCCUUCGGGUUGUAAAGCUCUUUUGUCAGGGAAGAAACGGUGAGAGCUAAUAUCUUUUGCUAAUGACGGUACCUGAAGAAUAAGCACCGGCUAACUACGUGCCAGCAGCCGCGGUAAUACGUAGGGUGCAAGCGUUAAUCGGAAUUACUGGGCGUAAAGCGUGCGCAGGCGGUUUUGUAAGUCUGAUGUGAAAUCCCCGGGCUCAACCUGGGAAUUGCAUUGGAGACUGCAAGGCUAGAAUCUGGCAGAGGGGGGUAGAAUUCCACGUGUAGCAGUGAAAUGCGUAGAUAUGUGGAGGAACACCGAUGGCGAAGGCAGCCCCCUGGGUCAAGAUUGACGCUCAUGCACGAAAAGCGUGGGGAGCAAACAGGAUUAGAUACCCUGGUAGUCCACGCCCUAAAACGAUGUCUACUAGUUGUCGGGUCUUAAUUGACUUGGUAACGCAGCUAACGCGUGAAGUAGACCGCCUGGGGAGUACGGUCGCAAGAUUAAAACUCAAAGGGAAUUGACGGGGGUCAUAGCUGUUUCCU